UCGAGCGGACAGAUGGGAGCUUGCUCCCUGAUGUUAGCGGCGGACGGGUGAGUAACACGUGGGUAACCUGCCUGUAAGACUGGGAUAACUCCGGGAAACCGGGGCUAAUACCGGAUGCUUGUUUGAACCGCAUGGUUCAGACAUAAAAGGUGGCUUCGGCUACCACUUACAGAUGGACCCGCGGCGCAUUAGCUAGUUGGUGAGGUAACGGCUCACCAAGGCAACGAUGCGUAGCCGACCUGAGAGGGUGAUCGGCCACACUGGGACUGAGACACGGCCCAGACUCCUACGGGAGGCAGCAGUAGGGAAUCUUCCGCAAUGGACGAAAGUCUGACGGAGCAACGCCGCGUGAGUGAUGAAGGUUUUCGGAUCGUAAAGCUCUGUUGUUAGGGAAGAACAAGUGCCGUUCAAAUAGGGCGGCACCUUGACGGUACCUAACCAGAAAGCCACGGCUAACUACGUGCCAGCAGCCGCGGUAAUACGUAGGUGGCAAGCGUUGUCCGGAAUUAUUGGGCGUAAAGGGCUCGCAGGCGGUUUCUUAAGUCUGAUGUGAAAGCCCCCGGCUCAACCGGGGAGGGUCAUUGGAAACUGGGGAACUUGAGUGCAGAAG
This 610-nucleotide ribosomal RNA is filed under the name Bacillus velezensis. RNAcentral describes it as "bacterial SSU rRNA". It matches the Rfam family "Bacterial small subunit ribosomal RNA", at positions 62 to 654 of the family's 1533-position model. The record is from RNAcentral. Lineage: Bacteria; Bacillati; Bacillota; Bacilli; Caryophanales; Bacillaceae.